UGCAAGUCGAGCGGUAACAGGUCGCUGUGAUCUCUUCGGAGUGAACUUGACGCUGACGAGCGGCGGACGGGUGAGUAACGCGUAGGAAUCUGCCCAGUAGAGGGGGAUAGCCCGGGGAAACUCGGAUUAAUACCGCAUACGCCCUACGGGGGAAAGGCCGGGAUCUUCGGACCGGUCACUAUUGGAUGAGCCUGCGUGAGAUUAGCUUGUUGGUGGGGUAAAGGCCCACCAAGGCGACGAUCUCUAGCUGGUCUGAGAGGAUGAUCAGCCACACUGGAACUGAGACGCGGUCCAGACUCCUACGGGAGGCAGCAGUCGGGAAUAUUGGACAAUGGGGGCAACCCUGAUCCAGCCAUGCCGCGUGUGUGAAGAAGGCUUUCGGGUUGUAAAGCACUUUCAGUAGUGAGGAAGGGGAAGUCGUUAAUAGCGGCUUUCAUUGACGUUAGCUACAGAAGCAGCACCGGCUAACUCCGUGCCAGCAGCCGCGGUAAUACGGAGGGUGCAAGCGUUAAUCGGAAUUACUGGGCGUAAAGCGCGCGUAGGCGGUUUGGUCAGUUGGAUGUGAAAGCCCAGGGCUUAACCUUGGAACUGCAUUCAAUACUGCCAGGCUAGAGUACGGUAGAGGGGGGUAGAAUUCCACGUGUAGCGGUGAAAUGCGUAGAGAUGUGGGGGAAUACCAGUGGCGAACGCGGCCCCCUGUAUCGAUACUGACGCUGAGUGCGAAAGCGUGGGGAGCAAACAGGAUUAGAUACCCUGGUAGUCCACGCCGUAAACGAUGUCAACUAGCCGUUGGAGUCUUGUAUCUUUAGUGGCGCAGCUAACGCGAUAAGUUGACCGCCUGGGGAGUACGGUCGCAAGAUUAAAACUCAAAUGAAUUGACGGGGGCCCGCACAAGCGGUGGAGCAUGUGGGUUAAUUCGACGCAACGCGAAGAACCUUACCUGGUCUUGACAUCCUGCGAACUUUCUAGAAGAUAGAUGUGCUCGGA
Molecule: ribosomal RNA, 987 nt
Filed under: uncultured Moraxellaceae bacterium
Lineage: Bacteria; Pseudomonadati; Pseudomonadota; Gammaproteobacteria; Moraxellales; Moraxellaceae
Description: bacterial SSU rRNA
Rfam family: Bacterial small subunit ribosomal RNA
Source: RNAcentral